Molecule: ribosomal RNA, 468 nt
Filed under: uncultured bacterium
Lineage: Bacteria
Description: partial 16S ribosomal RNA
Rfam family: Bacterial small subunit ribosomal RNA
Source: RNAcentral
GACGAACGCUGGCGGCGUGCUUAACACAUGCAAGUCGAACGGAAAGGCCCUGCUUUCGUGGGGUGCUCGAGUGGCGAACGGGUGAGUAACACGGGAGUAACCUGCCCUUGACUUUGGGAUAACUUCAGGAAACUGGGGCUAAUACCGGAUAGGAGCUCCUGCUGCAUGGUGGGGGUUGGAAAGUUUCGGCGGUUGGGGAUGGACUCUCGGCUUAUCAGCUUGUUGGUGGGGUAGUGGCUUACCAAGGCUUUGACGGGUAGCCGGCCUGAGAGGGUGACCGGCCACAUUACGACUGAGAUACGGCCCAGACGCCUACGGGAGGCAGCAGUGGGAAGUAUUGCACAAUGGGCGGAAGCCUAAUGCAGCAACGCCGCGUGCGGGAUGACGGCCUUCGGGUUGUAAACCGCUUUCGCCUGUGACGAAGCGUGAGUGACGGUAAUGUAUAAAGAAGCACCGGCUAACUACGUG